GUGAGUCCCAAAGUAGACGGAGACAAUGCCUGUGGAGUCAGUCCCAAAAUAGACUGCGUUAUUGACUCUGCAGUGAGUCCAGCAGCAGACAGGGACAAAAGUAGAUGUUGUCACUGAUUAAGAGCUGAAUAAAGAUCACAUGUUCUGGAAAUACAAAUUCAGUGACAGACUGGGUAAAGGAGGAUUUGGCUUAGUGUGUAAGGGAACUCAAUCAAGAAGAAUUCAGCUUACAAGUCUUCUGUGACACAAGACCAUACAUGCCUCCAGAAUAUCAUGACAAUGGUGUUUUCACUGGGAGUGCUCCUGUUUGAUGUGACUUAUACCGCUUAUGCAACAAUCAGUCUGUAUUUGCUGUGUCACAAGGUGAAAUGUCUGGCAAAGACCAAAUGAUAAAAGAUAGCAUGUGUGAAGUUUAAGGUAAUGAACAAAUUUCUCCUUUUUUUUUUUUGGCGAAGAAUGCAUCAUUUUUAGCUUGUCUGCAGCAUCAUCCUGUAACGCCAAGCCAGCAGAGGGAGCCCUCACCCUAGGACUGCCUGCAUGCUCCCUCUGCUGCUUCUACUGUUACUUCCUGUUUGACACUAUUUAAAGACUGACCAUGUGCUCUAUACUUUGCGAAGUAUUGCCAGUUUCACCUGCCUUACCGAGCGUUUCUAUAUUUACUCUGUUGGAUUACCUGUUGCUACCUUGCUUUGUUUAUGGACUCUUGAGUUUACGGAUUACCCCUAUUGGAUUG
Molecule: long non-coding RNA, 733 nt
Organism: Labeo rohita (rohu)
Lineage: Eukaryota; Metazoa; Chordata; Actinopteri; Cypriniformes; Cyprinidae
Exons: 4
Source: RefSeq, a predicted model, not a curated record